UUNNNAGAUAGCCANGCANGUCUAGUACAUGCCGUAUUAAGGCGAAACCGCGAAUGGCUCAUUAAAUCAGUUAUGGUUCCUUGGAUCGUACCUUACUACUUGGAUAACUGUGGUAAUUCUAGAGCUAAUACAUGCAGCAGAGCUCCGACCUUCGGGGACGAGCGCUUUUAUUAGACCAAAACCAAUCGGACUCUGUCCGUCUCUUGUGGUGACUCUGAAUAACUUUGGGCUGAUCGCACGGGCCCGUCCCGGCGACGUAUCUUUCAAGUGUCUGCCUUAUCAACUUUCGAUGGUAGGUUACGCGCCUACCAUGGUCGUAACGGGUAACGGGGAAUCAGGGUUCGAUUCCGGAGAGGGAGCCUGAGAAACGGCUACCACAUCCAAGGAAGGCAGCAGGCGCGCAAAUUACCCACUCCCAGAACGGGGAGGUAGUGACGAAAAAUAACAAUACGGGACUCUUUUGAGACCCCGUAAUUGGAAUGAGUACACUCUAAAUCCUUUAACGAGGAUCCAUUGGAGGGCAAGUCUGGUGCCAGCCGCCGCGGUAACUCCAGCUCCAAUAGCGUAUAUUAAAGUUGUUGCGGUUAAAAAGCUCGUAGUUGGAUCUCAGUUCCAGACGGGUGGUCCGCCUACCGGUGGUUACUGCCUGUUCUGAACAGCCAGCCGGUUUCUCUUGAUGAUCUUCACCGGUUGUCUUGGGUGACCGGCAAGUUUACUUUGAAAAAAUUAGAGUGCUCAAAGCAGGCGCGACGCCUGAAUAAUGGUGCAUGGAAUAAUGGAAUAGGACCUCGGUUCUAUUUUGUUGGUUUUCGGAACACGAGGUAAUGAUUAAGAGGGACAGACGGGGGCAUUCGUAUUGCGACGCUAGAGGUGAAAUUCUUGGACCGUCGCAGGACGAACUACUGCAAGAUUUUUUCCCAAGAAA
RNAcentral lists this ribosomal RNA (925 nucleotides) under Carrhotus xanthogramma. RNAcentral's name for it is "SSU rRNA". It matches the Rfam family "Eukaryotic small subunit ribosomal RNA", at positions 36 to 965 of the family's 1831-position model. Lineage: Eukaryota; Metazoa; Arthropoda; Arachnida; Araneae; Salticidae. The record is from RNAcentral.